UUUGUCAUUUUGGAAUUUUUGUCUUUUGCCAAAAAGCAUGAUGCAAAGACAUUAGCAUCUAAUUUCCUGUUUCUAUGCACAAUAUACUUUACAUGGUUUCUUACAUGUUAUGCAGGUAAGAGAGAGGGGUAUUAAGUCAUCAGAUAUACAACAUUCAAUUAGAUCCCAGUCACCCAUUGUAUUUUGUUCAUAAACAAUAUUUGCAUUCAUAUAUGAUGUUCCAUAAUUGUGUAUGCUGUCUUUUAAUAUAAUAUCCUUUGUGCAGGGUAGAAAUUACAUGGAUUUAAAACUGUCUCUGAAGGGCAAUAUGGCAGGACAAGAAGUUGCUGUUGCACCACUGAUGACGAACAAGGGAGGAUCUCCACUUUUAAAGAGAGAAGGAAAAUCAAAGUCAGUUAAACUGAAGCUGACAGAAUCAAAGCACAAUAUGAGACACAGACAUGAACUUCCUCAUAGAAAGCAGAUGAUUUUCCUGAGGAAAGGAGAACAAUUUAAUGGAGAAAAUUCAGGAAGACAGUAUGAGAAUCCUACGGGAAGCUAGGAAGAGAAAAAUAAGGCAGACGAAUUCCAUCGCUGUGGAUUAAGUGUGAAGCUCUUAAUCCGAAGACACUGCUGCUCAGGAGAAGUUUAUUUCCUACCAACCAUGAAGGUAUGUGAUUUUGCUUCUAUUUUGAAUUAAUUCCAACAGUAUUGUGUCGUUUCUCGUUUUGUUAGAUAUCCAGUUAUCAAUUAGAAAGGUGAUUUAGUUGGUACUUUCCCACCCGCCAUAGUGUCUGUACUAGCUUUUUCUUUUUCCGCUUCUCAUGUGAUAGACGAAGCCUUCCUUUUGUGCUGGCAUUCAGCACCAGAAGCCCAAAAGCUAGCACCCAUUUUAGACAAAGCUUCGUGCGUGGGGGAGCACCCAUCAAAGUUGCUUCCGUCAAAGCAAAGUGCUCGACCGAUCACAUCCACAAGUGGUCCUAAGAGCCAUAAUUUCCACUGUAGAUUGGGCAAAACAGGACAUCUUGUGAAAGUCUAGUCCUGCUCCCAUCACACUCACACCAGCCUCUUGAUUCCUUCUUCCUUUUGGCCCUCACUGAACAAAAAGCUAAAGGAGCCGUAGCUGGUGCAUCCACCAUUACGACCUGAAAGCUACCAGUGGGGCAUUGAAAAUGUGUUUUAGAUGACUUCGCAUUUAGGCAUCCAAAUAUUUAGAAAUGGUCUUUAAAAUCUAGUUCAACGUUCUAACCACUUGAAACGUGACCCAUUCCCUGCCAAUUUAGACAGCAACAACUGUGUCUUGUCUAUUGGUUUGAUAAUUCAGUACCACUGAAUACCUUGGAUUUGUUAUGAAUAGUCCGGCCACAGAUACACUAAACCUGAUAAGGAAGCACAAACGGCUCUAGUUUAAUGUGACCGUUGGUAGGUGGUCUAGAUCAAGCUUCUUGCUUCUUCCUCCCCAUUGAUGACAAUGAGGUACUCUGCGCUCUGCCGACACUAACCAGUACGGUCAGUAGGAGAGCCAGUCCAGCCAGGAUAAUUAGCUUCUCUCUAUCUAUCAUUGGUUAACAGAGUCCUUUUUAGAACGUCACUAUCCGCUAGAUCUGGCCCAUUUGUUA
Long non-coding RNA from Musa acuminata AAA Group (dessert banana), 1598 nucleotides. RefSeq lists it as uncharacterized. Lineage: Eukaryota; Viridiplantae; Streptophyta; Magnoliopsida; Zingiberales; Musaceae. The record is from RefSeq and is a predicted model, not a curated record. The transcript has 4 exons.